AUAUUUUGAAUUAAGUAUAUUCAUAAUAUGUUAUCAGACGAAUGUUGUUAAAGAUAUAGGUUGAUAUUUGUGAAGGGAAAGAGUUGCCUCUCUCCCAACAAACAUUGCACACAAGGUGGAUAUGGAUUUUUAAAAAGUGCCAUAAAACACUUUAUUAUGAAUGAUCCUUCCGCAGGUUCACCUACGGAAA
RNAcentral lists this unclassified non-coding RNA (190 nucleotides) under uncultured fungus. Its description in RNAcentral is "sequence contains ITS1". Lineage: Eukaryota; Fungi. The record is from RNAcentral.